Molecule: unclassified non-coding RNA, 274 nt
Filed under: Hevea brasiliensis (rubber tree)
Lineage: Eukaryota; Viridiplantae; Streptophyta; Magnoliopsida; Malpighiales; Euphorbiaceae
Source: RNAcentral
AUCAGAGCAAGGAUGGCAACUGGCGGUGAUGAUGACAAUGGCUCUCGUGAUGGUGAACGGAGAGCUAGAGCCUUUGAAACAAGGGAUGAUGCAUUGCAAUGUUUGGAGCAACUAUUAGAGCAAUGAGUGGACCACAGAUUCGGGCAUAUAAAAAGACAUUUUGAAGAAAUUGCGGAUCGCUUUGAUGCUUUAGAAAUCAAUCGCAACAAGGAUUGGGUGGACAAUAGAAGGCUGAGGGAUGGUGCAAGCCCCAUGGUGACCCUAUUGAACGGCG